This 378-nucleotide unclassified non-coding RNA is filed under the name plant metagenome. RNAcentral describes it as "partial contains 5.8S ribosomal RNA, internal transcribed spacer 2, and large subunit ribosomal RNA". The stretch from base 1 to 105 matches the Rfam family "5.8S ribosomal RNA", at positions 50 to 154 of the family's 154-position model. The record is from RNAcentral.
GAAAUGCGAUAAGUAAUGUGAAUUGCAGAAUUCAGUGAAUCAUCGAAUCUUUGAACGCACCUUGCGCUCCUUGGUAUUCCUUGGAGCAUGCCUGUUUGAGUAUCAUGAAAUCUUCAAAGUAAAUCUUUUGUUAACUCAAUUGGUUUCUACUUUGGUAUUGGAGGUCUUUGCAGCUUCACACCUGCUCCUCUUUGUUCAUUAGCUGGAUCUCAGUGUUAUGCUUGGUUCCACUCGGCGUGAUAAGUUAUCUAUCGCUGAGGACACUGUAAAAGGUGGCCAAGGUAAAUGCAGAUGAACCGCUUCUAAUAGUCCAUUGACUUGGACAAUACUUUUAAGAUCUGAUCUCAAAUCAGGUAGGACUACCCGCUGAACUUAAGC